UGGGGAAUCUUGGACAAUGGGCGCAAGCCUGAUCCAGCCAUGCCGCGUGAGUGAUGAAGGCCCUAGGGUUGUAAAACUCUUUCGUGGGGGACGAUAAUGACGGUACCCCAAGAAGAAGCUCCGGCUAACUUCGUGCCAGCAGCCGCGGUAAUACAGAGGGUGCGAGCGUUAAUCGGAAUUACUGGGCGUAAAGGGCGCGUAGGCGGCAAUUCAAGUCAUCUGUGAAAUCUCCGGGCUUAACUCGGAACGGUCAGAUGAUACUGCUUUGCUAGAGUGCAGAAGGGGCAAUCGGAAUUCUUGGUGUAGCGGUGAAAUGCGUAGAUAUCAAGAGGAACACCUGAGGUGAAGACGGGUUGCUGGGCUGACACUGACGCUGAGGCGCGAAAGCCAGGGGAGCAAACGGGAUUAGAUACCCGAGUAGUCCCUGAGCGGGCUGGCAAGGCGCAU
This 447-nucleotide ribosomal RNA is filed under the name uncultured bacterium. RNAcentral describes it as "bacterial SSU rRNA". It matches the Rfam family "Bacterial small subunit ribosomal RNA", at positions 355 to 825 of the family's 1533-position model. The record is from RNAcentral.